Molecule: ribosomal RNA, 463 nt
Filed under: uncultured bacterium
Lineage: Bacteria
Description: bacterial SSU rRNA
Rfam family: Bacterial small subunit ribosomal RNA
Source: RNAcentral
GACGAACGCUGGCGGCGCGCCUAACACAUGCAAGUCGAACGAGCGAGAGAGAGCUUGCUUUCUCGAGCGAGUGGCGAACGGGUGAGUAACGCGUGAGGAACCUGCCUCAAAGAGGGGGACAACAGUUGGAAACGACUGCUAAUACCGCAUAAGCCCACGGCUCGGCAUCGAGCAGAGGGAAAAGGAGUAAUCCGCUUUGAGAUGGCCUCGCGUCCGAUUAGCUAGUUGGUGAGGUAACGGCCACCAAGGCGACGAUCGGUAGCCGGACUGAGAGGACGACCAGCCACACUGGGACUGAGACACGGCCCAGACUCCUACGGGAGGCAGCAGUGGGGAAUUUUGGACAAUGGGGGCAACCUGAUCCAGCCAUGCCGCGUGCAGGAUGAAGGCCUUCGGGUUGUAACUGCUUUUGUCAGGGACGAAAGGAUCGUGUUAAUACCAUAGGUCUGCUGACGGUACCGUG